Homalodisca vitripennis (glassy-winged sharpshooter) is the source of this 503-nucleotide long non-coding RNA. RefSeq lists it as uncharacterized. The transcript has 2 exons. The record is from RefSeq and is a predicted model, not a curated record. Lineage: Eukaryota; Metazoa; Arthropoda; Insecta; Hemiptera; Cicadellidae.
UUCAGUUUUCUUAUUAAUAACGUGUUUCUAACAUAUUAAUUUGUCGUUUCUAGCAAAUCAAGAAAAAGUAUAAAAAAAUUUUGCAGUAACCUAUUUCGGAGACGUAAAUUAUUCAGAUUGCUCUAGGGUGAAUCAUUGUUUUACUUAACAAAGCAUACAGGCGUCUUCUGUAUGAAAACCAAUUUUUAAAUUUUCGACAUGUUGUCGUAGUGGCUUGAUAUAACGUGGAUUUAUAUGUGCAUUGCUGUCUCCCAGUGAGAGGUUACAACAGUUAGUGAAAGUUAACCCACUCGUCAACUGAAAUAUGGCAUCCUUACUAAAUCUUCAAAUCCGAGUGUCCGCAAGAAGAACCUGAAGUUCCCCUUGGUACCUCUCCAAAUGAAAUUUCCCAUCAAAACGACAGAAGCUCAGCCGUGGUGUCAGGGUCAUAGAUCGGAACAAGACCGAAAAUUUAUGCUGCUAACAUUGUCCGUAUUAACUUGAAGUAAAACUAAUCAGGAUUC